UGGCGGACGGGUGAGUAAUGUCUGGGAAACUGCCCGAUGGAGGGGGAUAACUACUGGAAACGGUAGCUAAUACCGCAUAACGUCGCAAGACCAAAGAGGGGGACCUUAGGGCCUCUUGCCAUCGGAUGUGCCCAGAUGGGAUUAGCUAGUAGGUGGGGUAACGGCUCACCUAGGCGACGAUCCCUAGCUGGUCUGAGAGGAUGACCAGCCACACUGGAACUGAGACACGGCCAG
Molecule: ribosomal RNA, 234 nt
Filed under: uncultured bacterium
Lineage: Bacteria
Description: partial 16S ribosomal RNA
Rfam family: Bacterial small subunit ribosomal RNA
Source: RNAcentral